This 498-nucleotide ribosomal RNA is filed under the name uncultured bacterium. RNAcentral describes it as "partial 16S ribosomal RNA". It matches the Rfam family "Bacterial small subunit ribosomal RNA", at positions 27 to 507 of the family's 1533-position model. The record is from RNAcentral.
GGAUGACCGCUGGCGGCGUGCCUAAUACAUGCAAGUCGAGCGAACAGACGAGGAGCUUGCUCCUCUGACGUUAGCGGCGGACGGGUGAGUAACACGUGGAUAACCUACCUAUAAGACUGGGAUAACUUCGGGAAACCGGAGCUAAUACCGGAUAAUAUAUUGAACCGCAUGGUUCAAUAGUGAAAGACGGUUUUGCUGUCACUUAUAGAUGGAUCCGCGCCGCAUUAGCUAGUUGGUAAGGUAACGGCUUACCAAGGCAACGAUGCGUAGCCGACCUGAGAGGGUGAUCGGCCACACUGGAACUGAGACACGGUCCAGACUCCUACGGGAGGCAGCAGUAGGGAAUCUUCCGCAAUGGGCGAAAGCCUGACGGAGCAACGCCGCGUGAGUGAUGAAGGUCUUCGGAUCGUAAAACUCUGUUAUUAGGGAAGAACAAAUGUGUAAGUAACUAUGCACGUCUUGACGGUACCUAAUCAGAAAGCCACGGCUAACUACGUG